RNAcentral lists this ribosomal RNA (595 nucleotides) under uncultured fungus. RNAcentral's name for it is "eukaryotic LSU rRNA". The stretch from base 203 to 356 matches the Rfam family "5.8S ribosomal RNA". Lineage: Eukaryota; Fungi. The record is from RNAcentral.
UUAAUGAACAUGUGCACACCUGUCAUCUUUAUAUCUCCACCUGUGCACCUUUUGUAGAUCUAGAGAAGUUUCUUAAUGCUAGCAUUAAGGUUUUGGGAUUGACUUUCUGUCUUUUCUUAUAUUUCUGGUCUAUGUUUAUUCAUAUACCCUAAUGUAUGUUAAAGAAUGUAAUAAGUGGGCCUUUGUGCCUAUAAUACUAUACAACUUUCAGCAACGGAUCUCUUGGCUCUCGCAUCGAUGAAGAACGCAGCGAAAUGCGAUAAGUAAUGUGAAUUGCAGAAUUCAGUGAAUCAUCGAAUCUUUGAACGCACCUUGCGCUCCUUGGUAUUCCGAGGAGCAUGCCUGUUUGAGUGUCAUUAAUAUAUCAACCUCUUUAGCUUUUGCUUAUUGAGUGUUGGAUGUGGGGGUUUUUUGCUGGUCUUUUAAAAGAUCAGCUCCCUUCAAAUGCAUUAGCAGAACAAUUUGUUGACCGUUCAUUAGUGUGAUAAUUAUCUACGCUAUUGACGUAAAGCAGUUCAGCUUCUAACAGUCCAUUGACUUGGACAAUUUUUUAUUAAUGUGACCUCAAAUCAGGUAGGACUACCCGCUGAACUUA